GACGAACGCUGGCGGCGUGCCUAACACAUGCAAGUCGAACGGAGAAGCUCCAGCUUGCUGGAGUGGAUGAGUGGCGAAGGGGUGAGUAACACGUGUGCAAACCGCCCCUGACUCUGGAAUAAGAGCUGGAAAAGGCGUCUAAUACUGGAUACGAGAAGGGUACCCAUGGGCAUCUUCAGGAAAGUUCUUCGGUUGGGGAUGGGCUGGCAGGCUAUCAGCUUGUUUGUCAGGUAGUGACGCACAAAGGUUACGACGGGUAGCCGGCCUGAGAGGGCGGCCGGGCUCACUGGGACUGAGACACGGAGCAGACGCGUACGGGAGGCAGCAGUGGAGAGUAUUGCGCAGUGGGCGAGAGCCAGAUGCGGCGACGCCGCGUGAGUGAUGACGGCCUUCGGGUUGUAAACCUCUUUCUGCGGAGAUGAAGCGAAAGUGACGGUACCUGCAGAAGAAGCACCGGCUAACUACGUG
This 468-nucleotide ribosomal RNA is filed under the name uncultured bacterium. RNAcentral describes it as "partial 16S ribosomal RNA". It matches the Rfam family "Bacterial small subunit ribosomal RNA", at positions 28 to 507 of the family's 1533-position model. The record is from RNAcentral.